RNAcentral lists this ribosomal RNA (447 nucleotides) under uncultured bacterium. RNAcentral describes it as "partial 16S ribosomal RNA". It matches the Rfam family "Bacterial small subunit ribosomal RNA", at positions 29 to 507 of the family's 1533-position model. The record is from RNAcentral.
AACGAACGCUAUCGGUAUGCUUAACACAUGCAAGUCGGACGGACUAAUUAGGGCUUGCUCCAAUUAGUUAGUGGCAGACGGGUGAGUAACACGUGGGGAUCUGCCCAUCAGUACGGAAUAACUUUUAGAAAUAAAAGCUAAUACCGUAUAUUCUCUACAGAGGAAAGAUUUAUCGCUGAUGGAUGAGCCCGCGUCAGAUUAGGUAGUUGGUGAGGUAACGGCUCACCAAGCCGACGAUCUGUAGCUGGUCUGAGAGGAUGAUCAGCGACACUGGGACUGAGACGCGGCCCAGACUCCUACGGGAGGCAGCAGUGGGGAAUAUUGGACAAUGGGCGAAAGCCUGAUCCAGCAAUACCGAGUGAGUGAUAAAGGCCCUAGGGUUGUAAAGCUCUUUUAGCAAGGAAGAUAAUGACGGUACUUGCAGAAAAAGCCCCGGCUAACUCCGUG